GUAGCUCAGUUGGAUAGAGCAUCGGCCUUCUAAGCCGAGGGUCACAGGUUCGAAUCCUGUC
This 61-nucleotide transfer RNA is filed under the name Parasutterella excrementihominis. It matches the Rfam family "tRNA", at positions 7 to 64 of the family's 71-position model. From Rfam's summary of the family: Transfer RNA (tRNA) molecules are approximately 80 nucleotides in length. Their secondary structure includes four short double-helical elements and three loops (D, anti-codon, and T loops). The record is from RNAcentral. Lineage: Bacteria; Pseudomonadati; Pseudomonadota; Betaproteobacteria; Burkholderiales; Sutterellaceae. RNAcentral also lists the same sequence under 1 other name.